Molecule: ribosomal RNA, 497 nt
Filed under: uncultured bacterium
Lineage: Bacteria
Description: partial 16S ribosomal RNA
Rfam family: Bacterial small subunit ribosomal RNA
Source: RNAcentral
GAUGAACGCUGGCGGCGUGCCUAAUACAUGCAAGUCGAGCGAACAGACGAGGAGCUUGCUCCUCUGACGUUAGCGGCGGACGGGUGAGUAACACGUGGAUAACCUACCUAUAAGACUGGGAUAACUUCGGGAAACCGGAGCUACUACCGGAUAAUAUAUUGAACCGCAUGGUUCAAUAGUGAAAGACGGUUUUGCUGUCACUUAUAGAUGGAUCCACGCCGCAUUAGCUAGUUGGUAAGGUAACGGCUUACCAAGGCAACGAUGCGUAGCCGACCUGAGAGGGUGAUCGGCCACACUGGAACUGAGACACGGUCCAGACUCCUACGGGAGGCAGCAGUAGGGAAUCUUCCGCAAUGGGCGAAAGCUUGACGGAGCAACGCCGCGUGAGUGAUGAAGGUCUUCGGGUCGUAAAGCUCUGUUAUUGGGGAAGAACAAAUGUGUAAGUAACUAUGCACGUCUUGACGGUACCUAAUCAGAAAGCCACGGCUAACUACGUG